GGCCGCCUGGCGUAAUGGCAACGCGUCUGACUACGAUAACCACCCACGGUGGAGUAAUCAGGAGAUUGCAGGUUCGACCCCUGCGGUGGUCA
RNAcentral lists this transfer RNA (92 nucleotides) under Lentinus tigrinus ALCF2SS1-7. RNAcentral describes it as "tRNA-Arg". It matches the Rfam family "tRNA". From Rfam's summary of the family: Transfer RNA (tRNA) molecules are approximately 80 nucleotides in length. Their secondary structure includes four short double-helical elements and three loops (D, anti-codon, and T loops). Further hydrogen bonds mediate the characteristic L-shaped molecular structure. tRNAs have two regions of fundamental functional importance: the anti-codon, which is responsible for specific mRNA codon recognition, and the 3' end, to which the tRNAs corresponding amino acid is attached (by aminoacyl-tRNA synthetases). tRNAs cope with the degeneracy of the genetic code in two manners: having more than one tRNA (with a specific anti-codon) for a particular amino acid; and 'wobble' base-pairing, i.e. permitting non-standard base-pairing at the 3rd anti-codon position. The record is from RNAcentral. Lineage: Eukaryota; Fungi; Basidiomycota; Agaricomycetes; Polyporales; Polyporaceae. RNAcentral also lists the same sequence under 1 other name.